This 1322-nucleotide ribosomal RNA is filed under the name Gebiacantha plantae. RNAcentral describes it as "16S ribosomal RNA". The stretch from base 543 to 1322 matches the Rfam family "Archaeal large subunit ribosomal RNA", at positions 1423 to 2828 of the family's 2987-position model. The record is from RNAcentral. Lineage: Eukaryota; Metazoa; Arthropoda; Malacostraca; Decapoda; Upogebiidae.
UUUAUUUAAAGUCUUAAGAAAACUAUUUUUUAUAUUAUUAUAUUUAGUACAUUUAAUUGAACAAUUAAAAUUGGCUAUAGUGGAUGAGUACUGUCAAGGAACAUUGAAAUAGCAUAUAAGGGUUAUAUCUUAAAAAGUAAAAUUUAAAACUUGUACCUUGUGUAUUAGGGAAAAUCAAAUUUCAGGAUUUAUAAGUCGGGUUCUCGGUAGAAGGGUGUCUAAUUGUAAUUCGUUAGUUUAUGUAGUAAAAUAAUAUUAAAGGUACAAUUAGUAAUGAAAUGUUAGUCGAAUCUUUAUAUCUAGUUAUCUUUGAAAUAAAUUCAAUUUAGGUUAUUUUUGCAAUUAAAAAUGAUCAAAGUGAAGGAGGGAAGAGCUUCUUUCACAAUAAAAACUUUAAAGUAAUAUAAUAAAAGGUAAGUUAUAAGUAAGCUUAGGGGUAGCUAGCUUUAUAAGGUGUUUUAACCAAUAAUUAUUAAAAGUUUCAUAUUCUUAGUAGUAGGGGAUUAAAGUGGUUAAUAAAAGUUCACUUGAAGUAAUGAUUUUAUUAGUAGAUUUUUAAUAUAGGAAAAAAAUAUUUAAAUAUGUAUUAAUUUUUAAUAUAUUAUAUUAUUUUAUUAAGGAAUUCGGCAAAUAAUAAAGCUUCUGCCUGUUUAUCAAAAACAUGUCCUAUUGGGGUUAUAAUAGGUCUGACCUGCCCACUGAAUUUUAAAGGGCCGCGGUAUUUUGACCGUGCGAAGGUAGCAUAAUCAUUAGUCUUUUAAUUGGAGGCUUGUAUGAAUGGUUGGACAAGAAGAAAGCUGUCUUUAUGAAAAAUAUUGAACUUAACAUUUGAGUAAAAAGGCUUAAAUAGAUUAGGGGGACGAUAAGACCCUAUAAAGCUUUAUAUUGCGUUGUAUUUUUUAAGAAAGUGGUAAAAAUUAAACUAUGAGACACAAUAUUACGUUGGGGCGACGAAGGUAGAAAGAAGUAUCUGCUUUACAUUAAUAACGGAGAUUUUCGGAUGGUUAAUUGAUCCUAGUUAAAGAUUAAAAGUUUAAGUUACUUUAGGGAUAACAGCGUUAUUUUUUUUGAGAGUCCAUAUCGAGAAAAAAGAUUGCGACCUCGAUGUUGAAUUAAGUUGUCUAUCUAUGUGCAGAAGCUAUAUAAGACGGUCUGUUCGACCUUUAAAAACUUACAUGAUUUGAGUUCAGACCGGCGUGAGCCAGGUUGGUUUCUAUCUCUUAAUUAAGUAAAUAAUUUUUUUAGUACGAAAGGAUUGAAAAGUUUAAAUAGUUUAUGGUUGAAAAUAAAAUGUUAGCCCAUUAAGUGAGUUGCUAAUAAAU